UUAUGUCCCUUCAUAUCUUACGUUUUUUACUUUGUAAAGAAGUAACUUUGGGUUUGUAGCACAACAGUAUCUUGGUUUUAUAUGCUUUUAAACAACUAUAAGUUUAUUUAUCAAAGCAAAAACAAAACAACAAAAAACAGCUACAAGUUUUAUGCAGUUCGUUAAUGCUGAAAAUGUAUGUGUAACCAACUUUCUGAGAGAAUUAUGGUAGUUACCCAGGAGCCUAUAGAUUUUAUAGCAAUUACAUAUUUUGAAAGAAUGGUAGUUAAAUCAGAUUAUUAGAGCUAUUAUACUGGACAACAGGUGACAAAUAGAAUUCUGUUUUUGGUUCUAUUUGGAACUUUCUCAUAGGUUAUGGCCUACAUUAAUGAAUUGAGAUCUCUGUAGCAUGUUAUGCAAAUAUAUCAGCCUUCUAAUUCUACACCUCUAAAAGCACUGAGUUGAUAUUUUCUGUACUCAACUGCUUUAAAAGAGAAUGUCUUCGGCUAAUGAUUGUUAGCCGCCAUUGCUUAUCAGAAAGAGAUGGAAAUUCAUGUUUCCGAUCAUCUGCAAAGAAAAACUGGAAGUUAUUAUAUAGGUUUUCCAAUCUCUUACUAACUCCUUAUGAUGUGUAGUUUUCAAGCAGUUAAGGAAAACAUCAACUCGGUGAAGGAUUUUCUAUUUUAGUAUUAUUCAAAUUGUCAAGGGCUCCGAGAUGUAAGAACUUAUUGCUCUUUCUUCUUUAUUUACUUAUUGACUAUUUGGUAGUUGUAUAUCUUGGUAUUUUGUGUCAUAUCGAAUAUGUCUCUUCUAGCCUGUAGGCUACAUUACCUCGGCUCAGGGCGAGGUCUAGGUGUUAAUUUCAUGUAAUUUCUUGAAAUUAAGAUUGCUAUCUGAAUUUGUUUCUUUGCGUGAUGCCCUUGUACAUAGAUAUUUCUUGGCAUGGGUAUGUUUGAUGACAAGUGGGAAGCUAACCAUGCUCUGAAAUGUGAACAUGAUCAAUCAUUCAAUCCUACGUUGUUCUUUCACCAUCCUCCUAUAUCUCAGCUGUAGACUGGUUGUUUGCAACAUUGUGGAACAAGUGAUAGGGCUAUUUUCAGAAUCCAAUAUGUUGCUCUUGAUAAGCUUUCUGAAACUCAAAAGGUAUUCUUCUUUGAUCACUUUGUGAUUGUUGUCAUCUAUACUUCCAUUUCUUUCCUGUAUAUUCUUCUCCUCAUUUUGGCGGAAGCGGCCUCAUCCUCUAAACAAACUAUUAUGUACCAUAGUCCAUUUUCGUCGUAUAUUAACUUCCCAACUGCCAAUAACACCAAUGAGCUCGCAGAGAAGUAUUACUGUUCUAGCGGCUCUUCAUGUAGUCAGACAGUGUUAAAGCAAAUCGAUUUCUUCCUCUUCGCGUUCUCCAAGCUUGAACGGGUUGAAACUGGUUGGAAAGCCCUUUCAUGUUCAAAUACAAUUCAAUUACUCAGCUAGAACUCAAGUUCAUGUUUGUGCUGUCACACUAUUUUCUCAGGUGCUUUGGAUUAUACUAUUGAUUCAAGUAUGCCUCGCUCAUGUUUGUGCUGUCGCACUUUUAUUUUUCUCUGGUGCUUUGGAUUAUGCUAUUGAUUCAAGCAUCCGUCAUUAUGAAGUGUUUUAUUAAAGCAAUUGUGUACCUCCUGAAAGUUUGAGCUGAUCCUUUGUUCAUAAUUUUGGAUUUCAGUGACAUUUUUAUGCAAGUUCUCUCUCCCCCACACACACCAAUCCAGCAGGACCAAAAAGCCAUUUGUCAUAAAGCAGCACAAUGUAGGGCACAAACAUAAGCCUUAUUGGAACCUCCCAACAUCAACUUAACAUCAAAGGUGGCAUGAGGAAGUAAAUUAGGAACUGUGAUCUCUGCCCGCUUGCUAUCAGUGCUGGUAGGAGGAGUGCUGAUCUUAUGGGAAUUAGAGGGCCCUUGAAGCACAGAACUGACCACACCUUCCAGCACUUCCAAAGGUUCUAUUUCAGAAUCCUCAGCAUCU
Long non-coding RNA from Rhododendron vialii, 1979 nucleotides. RefSeq lists it as uncharacterized. The record is from RefSeq and is a predicted model, not a curated record. The transcript has 7 exons. Lineage: Eukaryota; Viridiplantae; Streptophyta; Magnoliopsida; Ericales; Ericaceae.